AUAUCACUUUAUUAGUAAUCACAAUAGAAAUUAAAUUAAAGUGUUAGGUACAUAUUAACAAACUGAUUAUUUAUUAUUUACCUACUACUUAAUUAAAGUGGAACGUGUGCCUGCGCUGAAGGGUCGAUUCACACUCACAGCGAAUCGAAGCGAAAAUGUAACAUAGCAUUGAUGACCUAAUUGAUGAUGAAAAAAGACCCCUGAUGGAAUAACAAAAACGUUAAUCAUCGUAACCGGCAGUCAAUACUGCCCCUUGAUUGGUUGAAUUCGCUGUUCACAUUUUUUCAGCCAAUCAGAGGGCAGAAUUUGCUGCCAAUUACAAUGAAUGGCACACGGACAGAUAAAGCUUUUUAUAUUUUUUAUGUAAUUUCGACGUUGGGUCAUCGACUUACAUUCUUAUUAUUAUUUGUGUAUUACAAAUUUUGAAGUAACAAUGUUCACUAACUUAUUUGUGUAAUAAGGUUCAAGGUGCAGAUGCAAAUUCACCAAACACCACGGACAAAACUUGGUAACUUCUGUUCUGGUGUUACUUGUCUAUGGUUGUUUGAAUAAAAAAUCAAAAAUAUAUAAUUAUAGUGCCAAAAAACCUUACUGUAAUACUAAAAAUAAAUAAGCUAAUAAUAACUAGCGCUAGCAUUAGGAGUAACAUAAUACUAGGCAUUUCAAUUAAAAACUGAACGUAAACAGUUUGCGCUAUGGAUUUUUUUGUAGAAUGAGAGGUAUUUUUAAGAUCUUAAGUACAAGGAACCUAAUUUUUUUGAUCGUCACUAUUUGGGCCACACUGUAUAUGGUAAUAUUUAUCUUAAACUUUGCAGGAAUGAAUUUCGAAUCUAUUACUCAAUAGUCAAUACAUUAUCACUAUGUACUAGCCUACGGAUUAAACAUUUUGAACAUUUAUCUUUUCAACUAAUUAUUUUAUCUGUGCUAAAAAAUAUAAUUCUUUAUCAUAGGUUUCAUCUUUUAGCUUUCAACAACGAAUAUUUAUUUUAAAGUUUGAUCUCGAAAUUCAAACUUCUAAUAUAAACUGGGGUAGUUUAAAAAAAUCCAUUUAAACAACUCAUUGGCAAUGUUCAAACAGAUAGCCAUAAAACAUAUCGAGACAUUCUCAAUAGAUGAAUAUUUAUCGUGCAUGCACGUCGUUUGUACAAUAAUAAUAGAUACUUAUAUAUAUAACAGUAAGUUAGGUACAGUACUAACACUUUUAUAAGUAACGCUGCUUUCAUGUACCUGCGCAGAAAUCUUAUUUCUUAAUGGCGCGAAAUUAUCUCAGCCAAUCAUAGCGCGCGUACGUCUGCUAUUUAUUGGUCGGUGGUCACGCGUCGCCGAUGCGCUCGGACGUGUCCGAUGAAAUAA
Molecule: long non-coding RNA, 1353 nt
Organism: Maniola jurtina (meadow brown)
Lineage: Eukaryota; Metazoa; Arthropoda; Insecta; Lepidoptera; Nymphalidae
Exons: 2
Source: RefSeq, a predicted model, not a curated record